Molecule: non-coding RNA, 140 nt
Filed under: Syntrophaceticus schinkii
Lineage: Bacteria; Bacillati; Bacillota; Clostridia; Thermoanaerobacterales; Thermoanaerobacterales Family III. Incertae Sedis
Description: FMN sequence
Rfam family: FMN riboswitch aptamer (RFN element)
About the family: The RFN element is a highly conserved domain that is found frequently in the 5'-untranslated regions of prokaryotic mRNAs that encode for flavin mononucleotide (FMN) biosynthesis and transport proteins. This element is a metabolite-dependent riboswitch that directly binds FMN in the absence of proteins.
Source: Rfam by way of RNAcentral
AAUGUCCUUCGGGGGAUGGUGAAACUCCACACCGGCGGUGAAAGCCCGCGAACCCGGCACUUGUUCUGUUUGUAAGUGUCCUGGUUGAUCCAGUGAAAAUCUGGAGCCGACAGUGAAAGUCUGGAAGGGAGAAGGGAUUC